This 451-nucleotide ribosomal RNA is filed under the name uncultured bacterium. RNAcentral's name for it is "bacterial SSU rRNA". It matches the Rfam family "Bacterial small subunit ribosomal RNA", at positions 8 to 507 of the family's 1533-position model. The record is from RNAcentral.
AGAGUUUGAUCCUGGCUCAGAACGAAUGCUGGCGGCAGGCCUAACACAUGCAAGUCGAACGCUCCGCAAGGGGAGUGGCAGACGGGUGAGUAACACGUGGGAACCUACCUCGAGGUGCGGAACAACCAAGGGAAACUUUGGCUAAUACCGCAUGUGCCCUUAGGGGGAAAGAUUUAUCGCCUUGGGAUGGGCCCGCGUCGGAUUAGCUAGUUGGUGUGGUAAUGGCGCACCAAGGCGACGAUCCGUAGCUGGUCUGAGAGGAUGAUCAGCCACACUGGGACUGAGACACGGCCCAGACUCCUACGGGAGGCAGCAGUGGGGAAUAUUGGACAAUGGGCGCAAGCCUGAUCCAGCCAUGCCGCGUGUGUGAUGAAGGCCUUAGGGUUGUAAAGCACUUUCGCCGAUGAAGAUAAUGACUGUAGUCGGAGAAGAAGCCCCGGCUAACUUCGUG